AUCUCUGCUUAAGAAGCUUAUGUGGACACACAGGGAGCUCACCAAGCAAAGGUGCUUACUGAAGAAAACCAGGGAGAUGUGGGACUCAUUCAGCUGCUAAAGUAAAGCAGAGUAAAGGUGGUGUGGGACAAGGUUUGAGCUCCAGAGGGCUCAGAAAGUUCUUGGUGGGGGGAGGCUCCCAGAAGGGCCGGGAGACUGUGUGGAGGAGGACAGGAUGGCACCUACUGACUGACAAGUCUGAGAAGGUGGACGGCUCUGUUGUGAUUCAGCCUCUGUUUUCUCGGCCAGGGAGCUUGAGCAACCUUUACUCUCUGGAGGACAGAACCAAAGUGACUCACUGGGCUGAGCCCCAGACAAGUGAGGAGAUAGGAAGAGGGCCCUGAGAGAAGCUGAGGCCUGCUGCCCCCCCCCCCCCACCCCAGCCAGCUCUUCCCUUGUGGCUCCCCAGAGCAGGAGAGCAGGGUGGACAACGGCUAACAAAGGGAAUGGCUCCCCUGCCAGAGCAGAGCCUUGGUUUCCCUGACGCAGCCCAGAGAACGUGCUGGCGGCUCAUCAGCCCUCGCAGAGGCUUUUGGGGCUGUUCCUCUCCCUGCUGGGUCUGCCCCAAAUCCCUCAAACAGACCAUCCGGUGGGAUCUGCCGAGUUCUUCCACAGCCCUGAGAGGUCCUCGGCCAGGUCGUGCCCCCCCAGUGACCCCCCCGGCUUGAAGGAAGUGGGGGGCAGAGGAGGGGGCCGAGCCCCCAUCUGGGUCAUUUGAAGGGCUCCAGGAAGUAGAAGGGCCUCCCGGGGACAGGAAGAGGGCAAAAGGGGUCCCGAACUCGGCUUGCUUGACUCUGGCUCCUGGAGGGAGUCCAGGGUGGGGGGAGGGGGAGCUGCGGAGCUCUUGGGAGGGAGGCCUGGAGGUCACUGGGGGGAGGCCGGGAACUCCAGAGGGCAGGGUUGAAGUUUAAUAGGGAGCCGCGGGAGGCCUUCUCCUUGGGUUCAAAGGACAGGCUGGGGGGGUCCCCGGUUUAUUUAGUUUCAGUGUAGAAACCCCCGGCUUGGGCCUUGUCACGGGAGAGGCUCCCCCUGAGGGAGGGUCUCCCUUCCCUUCCGCAGACAAGGGGCUUCCUGGCAGUUUGGGUGGGAGCAGCUCAGCCCACCCAAUGUGGAGCAACCCUCUUGUCCCGAUGGCUCCCCCCAGGCUAAGGUCCUCCUUUUCCUUUCUUACCAUUGUGGAGUCAGUCAACUGUCCCUCCCUCUGGCUCCAGGCCCCCAGGCCGUCUAGAGGCUCCCGAGCCCACUGGCAGGGGUCAGUGUUGGGCGUGCGCACUUGGUGCAGUCCCUGUUGUGGCAUUAGCAGCGCUGAACCCCUUUUCCCUCGAUUAAGGAGGGAUUUGGGCCAUUUCAUAGGUCUGCGCUUUUUCUAGUUGACAGAAUGGAGGCCCCACCGAGACCCGACGUCCGGCGGCCUGAGCCCUCCUGCUGACGAGGACCCCAGGCGUGAGGUGCCCACACAGCCCGCUUGGCUCUCGGAGGCAGGACUCGCUCUGAUGGGGGGACCCUUGGCCACCCGGCGCUGUUGGACGUGGGCGACAGCUUGUCUGGUGGGGCCGUCGGCAGCCCGAAGGACCACCUCGUGACGGGCUGUUUGGAGGUUUGAGGAGAUGAGAAGGCGGCCGAGUCCGGCCCCGACGCGUAUCGGGCAGCACGGAGUCUGGUUCGACCUGGCCACCAUCUUGGAGCUUACUUGGAUUGUGGGUGCCUGUGUGAGGGCGGGAGGGCAGGUCAGAGGCAUGAAAGGUCGGCUGAACGCUUCGAAUGGGAAGUUGGAGCUGGCGUGUGGGAGCCACAGCGUCCACUUGAGGGUCUGAGUAACUGCUUUAAGUGGACUAAAAGAGAGGAAGCUUCUUUGUGGAUGGAGAUGCCUUGGCUUGAGGUUUAAAUGGUGAUGAAGUUUUGGGGGGAAAACAGCCUCUCAUAGAAGCUUAAGAACUUCAGUGCUGGGUCUCUUCACAUUUUUUCUGUGCGCUUUUGCUUGUAUUGUCUGUCUGCUGGAGACUUCGCUCAUAACCUCAAAUGCUGGUGAUUUAGACGUUAGCCAAUAAUGCCUGGAAGUUGUUCCCAAUGAAUUCCUCCCCAAAGUGAACAGGCGAGCCUGGAGAGACGGGAAUAACCGCCAGGAGGCAAAAGGAGGGCCAGAAAUUCUGAACUUGAAGGCCUCACUUUUCUUCCCAAAGUUCUGGUCUGGUUCAUGUGUGAAAUAUUGUGUCUCAGGCGCAGUUAACAUUGGUGACGAGGCGCGGUUUGUUCUAGGUUCUAACCUGGUUAUUUGGGGGCUCCAAUUUCUUAGGAGCCCAAAGCCUGGACCACACUGUUGCGCAGCCUCGAACCAGGAGGAUUCCUGAAGAGGAAUCUGUGGGAAAUCCGAGGGAGCCCCGAGGUGCUGGAUCCGGAUGAGGGUCGUUCCUCAUCAUCCCCACUGCCUAGAAGUGUUUCUGGAGCAGACCUGAAGCUGGCCAUUUGGCUUCCCCUGAGCCAAGUCCCUUUGAGUAGAGAGCCUGGAAGGGACCGAGCUAGUCCCCAGACCCCGGCGGAGUGGGGAAGUUCCAAUAGGUGCGUUGUCCCGGGUUAAGAGGCUCGGAGGGCACAUGUGUCCAUUGGAGAAGCCGCAGCAGAUGCCAGAGUGCUGGGUUGUCUCAAGGAAGCAUCAGAAGAACUUGGGAAGAGAUGGCGGAGCCAGAACUGGCUGUUAGUGAGUGACACAAGAUAAACACUUCAGUCUGGAGCCUGGUUCGAGAACUGCCAUCGAAGGGUGAAUUGUACGGGAAGGUGAUGGGGAAAGCCAAGCGAUGCAGGAAGUUGGUUACUGACACAGUCACAAGGGCGAGUGGAAGGGCGGAGCUAAUGCCAAGUUCUGCGGGAGGGAGACGCCGAUUCUCCCCCAUCUGACGUGACUUCCCGCUUCGCUUCUGUUAAUUUUCCGUGUGGUGCUCGGAGCACAGACUAUGGGAAUUGUGGGGGCAGAUAGAGCAGCAAAUCAAGGAGGUCCCUUUUCUUAAAAGGAGGGUUUAGGUCAUGAGGAAAAGCUGGCAAAACAUCAGGGCCCAAAGGGGGAGGCCAGCACAUGAAGAGCAGAUUCUCGGCAGCAGUUUUAAUAAACAAGCUUGUGCUAGAACACUGAAUGGCUCCCCAGUACCCGUCAAGUUUGUACACUCUGGAGCCUCGAGGCAGGAAACGGGGGAUAAGAAGAGCAGCCUCGUGACCGGGAAAGCCACUCCAGUCACCUAUAGAUUUCGGCCGAAGCUCAAUGCAGCAGCCCGAGGAAGCCUGAGGAAGCCGGCUGACACCAGAGCAGGCGGAGGCCGAAGGCAUCAUCAGGACCCAGCAGACGGGACGACUCGAGACUUUGGGGAAUGGGCUCGUGUUGGAUGGUCAGUUACUCUGCCAAAGGCACACUGCCGGCCUUCCUGGCUCCAAUGUCAGUGCGCCGGAGCCAUUGGGGAGGCCCCCAAAGGCCACUUCCCCAAAGCGGUAUCCCCGAGCUUGCCCACCAUUAGGGAUGGAGUCCAAUCCCAUAUAGCGUUACCCAUUUGUCCAUUUGGUUGGUCGGCGACGGCCGGUCUGGACCAAAAGGGGGGAGGGGUGUCAGCAUGGGAUCGAGGAACCCCAGUCUGUUUGGUUUCAGCGUAGAAACCCCCGGCUUGGGCCUUGUCACAGGAGAGGCUCCCCCAGAGGGAGGGUCUCCCUUCCACAGACAGUGAACUUCCUGGCAGUUUGGGUGGGAGCAGCUCAGCCCACCCAAUGUGGAGCAUCCCUUUUGUCCCGAUGGCUUCCCCCCAGGCUAAGGUCCAGGACCAGACUGGGCAGUCUUUCCCUUUUGUGUCCACAGUAGGGCAUCAGCCCCUCCCGUUAUUCCAGUCUGGAGCUCCUCCUUUUCCUCACUUACCUUGUAAAGUCAGUCAACUGUUCCUCUAAUCCUAACCGCCCCAGGCCGUCUAGAGGCUCCCCAAGUUCUUCUGUUCCCCAGAGUCCCCCCUGAGUCAGUGGCACUCCCAGGGGUCAGUGACCAGGGCAUCAUGGGAAGUCAUGGGAAGCAGCUCUGCUGUCGCAUUAGUAGCGCUGACCCCUUUUCCCUGAAUUAAAGACUGAUUUGGACCAUUU
This is a non-coding RNA of Monodelphis domestica (gray short-tailed opossum), 4143 nucleotides long. NCBI's taxonomy places the organism in Eukaryota, Metazoa, Chordata, Mammalia, Didelphimorphia, Didelphidae. The record is from RefSeq and is a predicted model, not a curated record.